AUUAAUAAAAUUAUAUAAAUUUAUUUUAAAUAAAGUAUUAUUUUGUUUUAUUAUUAUAAUAGAAAAAAUUUAUUUUAUUAUAGUUAAAAGUAUAGUAAUAGAAAUUUUAAAUAUACUAAUAAUUAAAAUUUUUAAAAGAAAAAUUCGAUUUUUGUACCUUGUGUAUCAGGGUUUAUUAAUAAAAUUUUAUAUAUAUAUAAAUUUCUCGGUUUUAAAAGAUUUAAAUAUUUAUUUUUUUUAAUGUUAAAUAAUUAUUAUUAAUAAAUAUUUAGUAAUGAAACGUUAUUCGUUUUUAAAUAUAUCUAGUUUCUUAAGAAAUAAAUUUAAUUUAUUUAUUAAUAUAAAUUAACUUUAUUUGUAAAUUUAUUUUUAUUAAUAAAUAAUAUUUUAAGGGAUAAGCUUUAAAAUAAAUUUAUAUAAUAUAAAAUUUAAUAAUUAAUUGUAGGAUUAAAAAUUUCUUUCAUUAAUAAUUUGUUAUAAUUAAUUUUUAAAAUUAUUUUUUAUAUUAUAUUUAUAUUUUUUAUUAAGAUUAUUUAUAUAAUUUUUUAUAAUUGUAAUAAUGAUAAAAUUAGUAUAUAUUUUUUUAAAUAUAAAUUAUAAAUAUAAGGCUAAAUUAAGGAAUUCGGCAAAAUUAUUUUUCGCCUGUUUAAUAAAAACAUGUCUUUUUGAUUAUAAUUUAAAGUCUGACCUGCCCUAUGAAUAUUUAAAUGGCCGCGGUAUUUUGACCGUGCAAAGGUAGCAUAAUCAUUAGUUUUUUAAUUGAAAGCUAGAAUGAAAGGUUUGACGAAAAAAUAACUGUCUCAGUUUAGUUUAAUUAGAAUUUUAUUUUUAAGUUAAAAAGCUUAAAUAUUUUUAAAAGACGAGAAGACCCUAUAGAGUUUAAUAUUUUUGUAAUUUUAAAUUUUUAUAAUUUAAUUAAUUUAUAAAAAUAUUUUAUUGGGGUGAUAAAUAAAUUUAAUUAACUUUAUUUUUUUUUUACAUAUAUUUAUGAAUUAUUGAUCCAUUAUUAAUGAUUAUAAGAUUAAAUUACCUUAGGGAUAACAGCGUAAUUUUUUUAGAGAGUUCAAAUCGAAAAUUAAGAUUGCGACCUCGAUGUUGGAUUAAAGUAAAUUUUUGGUGUAGAAGCUAAUAUAUUAAGUCUGUUCGACUUUUAAUACUUUACAUGAUCUGAGUUUAAACCGGUGUGAGCCAGGUUGGUUUCUAUCUUUAAAAUAAUAAAAUGUUUUAGUACGAAAGGACCAAAUAUUUAUAAUAAUUAUUUAUAUAAGAAUAUUAUU
RNAcentral lists this ribosomal RNA (1277 nucleotides) under Ochthebius sp. IBE<ESP> AN164. RNAcentral's name for it is "16S ribosomal RNA". The stretch from base 1037 to 1195 matches the Rfam family "Archaeal large subunit ribosomal RNA", at positions 2542 to 2701 of the family's 2987-position model. The record is from RNAcentral. Lineage: Eukaryota; Metazoa; Arthropoda; Insecta; Coleoptera; Hydraenidae.